This 521-nucleotide ribosomal RNA is filed under the name Acinetobacter baumannii. RNAcentral describes it as "bacterial SSU rRNA". It matches the Rfam family "Bacterial small subunit ribosomal RNA", at positions 54 to 569 of the family's 1533-position model. RNAcentral also lists the same sequence under 1 other name. The record is from RNAcentral. Lineage: Bacteria; Pseudomonadati; Pseudomonadota; Gammaproteobacteria; Moraxellales; Moraxellaceae.
CAUGCAAGUCGAGCGGAGAGAGGUAGCUUGCUACUGAUCUUAGCGGCGGACGGGUGAGUAAUGCUUAGGAAUCUGCCUAUUAGUGGGGGACAACAUCUCGAAAGGGAUGCUAAUACCGCAUACGUCCUACGGGAGAAAGCAGGGGAUCUUCGGACCUUGCGCUAAUAGAUGAGCCUAAGUCGGAUUAGCUAGUUGGUGGGGUAAAGGCCUACCAAGGCGACGAUCUGUAGCGGGUCUGAGAGGAUGAUCCGCCACACUGGGACUGAGACACGGCCCAGACUCCUACGGGAGGCAGCAGUGGGGAAUAUUGGACAAUGGGGGGAACCCUGAUCCAGCCAUGCCGCGUGUGUGAAGAAGGCCUUAUGGUUGUAAAGCACUUUAAGCGAGGAGGAGGCUACUUUAGUUAAUACCUAGAGAUAGUGGACGUUACUCGCAGAAUAAGCACCGGCUAACUCUGUGCCAGCAGCCGCGGUAAUACAGAGGGUGCAAGCGUUAAUCGGAUUUACUGGGCGUAAAGCGCG